RNAcentral lists this ribosomal RNA (241 nucleotides) under uncultured bacterium. RNAcentral's name for it is "partial 16S ribosomal RNA". It matches the Rfam family "Bacterial small subunit ribosomal RNA", at positions 14 to 244 of the family's 1533-position model. The record is from RNAcentral.
GUAUCAUGGCUCAGGAUGAACGCUAGCUACAGGCUUAACACAUGCAAGUCGAGGGGAAACGGAUAGAGAAAGCUUGCUUUUUCUAGGCGUCGACCGGCGCACGGGUGAGUAACGCGUAUCCAACCUGCCCACCACUUGGGGAUAACCUUGCGAAAGUAAGACUAAUACCCAAUGAUAUCUCUAGAAGACAUCUGAAAGGGNUUAAAGAUUUAUCGGUGAUGGAUGGGAUGCGUCUGAUUAG